CCUCGGGGGGCAGCAGUGGGGAAUAUUGCACAAUGGGGGAAACCCUGAUGCAGCGACGCCGCGUGAGUGAAGAAGUAAUUCGUUAUGUAAAGCUCUAUCAGCAGGGAAGAAAAUGACGGUACCUGAGUAAGAAGCCCCGGCUAACUACGUGCCAGCAGCCGCGGUAAUACGUAGGGGGCAAGCGUUAUCCGGAUUUACUGGGUGUAAAGGGGGCGCAGACGGCGAUGCAAGCCAGGAGUGAAAGCCCGGGGCCCAACCCCGGGACUGCUCUUGGAACUGCGUGGCUAGAGUGCAGGAGGGGCAGG
Molecule: ribosomal RNA, 305 nt
Filed under: uncultured bacterium
Lineage: Bacteria
Description: bacterial SSU rRNA
Rfam family: Bacterial small subunit ribosomal RNA
Source: RNAcentral